RNAcentral lists this ribosomal RNA (490 nucleotides) under uncultured bacterium. RNAcentral describes it as "partial 16S ribosomal RNA". It matches the Rfam family "Bacterial small subunit ribosomal RNA", at positions 30 to 507 of the family's 1533-position model. The record is from RNAcentral.
AUUGAACGCUGGCGGCAGGCCUAACACAUGCAAGUCGAACGGUAACAGAAAGCAGCUUGCUGCUUUGCUGACGAGUGGCGGACGGGUGAGUAAUGUCUGGGAAACUGCCUGAUGGAGGGGGAUAACUACUGGAAACGGUAGCUAAUACCGCAUAACGUCGCAAGACCAAAGAGGGGGACCUUCUGGCCUCUUGCCAUCGGAUGUGCCCAGAUGGGAUUAGCUAGUAGGUGGGGUAAAGGCUCACCUAGGCGACGAUCCCUAGCUGGUCUGAGAGGAUGACCAGCCACACUGGAACUGAGACACGGUCCAGACGCCUACGGGAGGCAGCAGUGGGGAAUAUUGCACAAUGGGCGCAAGCCUGAUGCAGCCAUGCCGCGUGUAUGAAGAAGGCCUUCGGGUUGUAAAGUACUUUCAGCGGGGAGGAAGGGAGUAAAGUUAAUACCUUUGCUCAUUGACGUUACCCGCAGAAGAAGCACCGGCUAACUCCGUG